This 292-nucleotide ribosomal RNA is filed under the name uncultured bacterium. RNAcentral's name for it is "partial 16S ribosomal RNA". It matches the Rfam family "Bacterial small subunit ribosomal RNA", at positions 505 to 796 of the family's 1533-position model. The record is from RNAcentral.
GUGUCAGCAGCCGCGGUAAUACAGAGGGUGCAAGCGUUGUUCGGAAUUAUUGGGCGUAAAGCGCGUGUAGGCGGUUCAGCAAGUCGGAUGUGAAAGCCCUCGGCUUAACCGAGGAAGGGCGUUCGAAACUACUGAACUUGAGUGCCGGAGAGGGUGGCGGAAUUCCCGGUGUAGAGGUGAAAUUCGUAGAUAUCGGGAGGAACACCAGCGGCGAAGGCGGCCACCUGGACGGUAACUGACGCUGAGACGCGAAAGCGUGGGGAGCAAACAGGAUUAGAUACCCCCGUAGUCC